AGGAUUUUAGUUAAAAAAUAACAUUUAAAUUGCACUUAAAAAUUAUAUCAUUAUACACAUAAAUCUUA
RNAcentral lists this transfer RNA (68 nucleotides) under Acropyga panamensis. RNAcentral's name for it is "tRNA-Ala". The record is from RNAcentral. Lineage: Eukaryota; Metazoa; Arthropoda; Insecta; Hymenoptera; Formicidae.